AGCGAGUCAGUUUUCAGUUUUAUUCAUAAUUUGCAUAUUUUACAUCGUGAAGGGAAAUACGGCUGUGCUUAAUUUAAAGUUUAGUCUAACACUAUGGAUUGUAUAAUCAGAUAAGUCUCACAAAAUUUUUAUUUUUUUGUAUGGAGUAAGUAUUCUGAGAUAAGAUGAAUACUUUGUGUUAUGUUUUAUUUUUAGUUAUAUUAAAAGCAAGAGAGGAAGAAACACUAUUUGAGCGUAAAGUAGAAGAGUAGACGAGUAAGGAAAGAAAGAUGUAAAAGAGAGAUCAACCUCACAGCUUGGAAUUUACAGUGUGCCGAACAGAAUAUGUGGACCUUGAAGGUAUCAAAUAACAUAAUUUUACUAAAAAAGUUAUAGGAUGAAGUAAACAAUUUAUUUUUUGUGUGAGAAAGUAUCUAUUACAAUUUAACUUGUUCCGAGAAAACCUUUGCAAAAGAUUUAAUAAAGAACAAGCAAUUUGAUGAGAUUAUCAUAUCAUUAUUAUCAUAUUUAUUAUUCGAAUUUUAAAGAGAAACAGUAAGAAAUUUUAUUAAUACAUUAUUAAAAAAUUGUUGGCUGUUACACCAAAAUUCUCUUUCUUGUAAGCUGAUGUAUGCUAUUGAUAAAAAAUUCACCGAAGUUCAUCCCUGUUUUAGCUCAGCGAACCAUUAUAUGUAUAGAGAAUUGACAGAGCAAUUCAUAUCAAAAGGAUUAUCUAAAGGUGUACGUCCUAGUUCUUCAAGUAUGUUAUUUUAUGGCAUUAUCUUAUGGCAGGCUAGAUUACUAAAAUAAAUAAAAAACGUGAAAUCUGAUCUGAAACAAUUACAACAAAGUAUACAGACUAAUAUCACUCAACUAACCUGCCAAUGAUGUGGUCGCAGGCUGUAAUAUAGGAAAUAUGUUUAUGAAUGUCAAAGAUCAUCUGUAGGUCUUAGUCAUUUAGUAACUGUCAUGCAUUUUGUGUCAGCCAGAUAUACGCCUCAGAAAUAUACUGAUAAAGCUCUUAGUUACAUUAAAAACUAAAAAGUAAGUAUUUAAAUACUCUGUUCCCAAAAUAAUUUAUUCUAAUUAAUACAAUUCUCUUCAUACAUUCACAAUAAUAACAUUCAGAAUUUUUAUUUAUAUUUUUGAUUCUCUAACUUAAUUGUUUGUAAAUUGAGGCAUAUAUAAGACGAAAGACUACAAAAUAGGCAUAUAUGAGACGAAAGACAAAAUAAGAUAUUUUUAUUUAUAGAAUAAUUUAAGAAUGACCAGUGGAUGUGCGUAUGAUUAUCUGGAAAUGUGCACAAAAGUGGAACUUGAGAAGGAACAUUUGAUUAUUCCCAUCUCUAAUUUGCUGGGUUUUAUUCUAAAAACAUAUAAUGGCUAUAAUUUAUUCUUACCUGUUCUAAUCCUUGUGAAAAUUUCUUCAGCUUUUAUAAAUUUCAGUUAUUCUUUACGUUCUUUUAAAUUUUAAGAAGAACAGUUGUCCGAAUGAUGUAAGAAUAAUUG
Molecule: long non-coding RNA, 1488 nt
Organism: Monomorium pharaonis (pharaoh ant)
Lineage: Eukaryota; Metazoa; Arthropoda; Insecta; Hymenoptera; Formicidae
Exons: 2
Source: RefSeq, a predicted model, not a curated record